This 253-nucleotide ribosomal RNA is filed under the name uncultured bacterium. RNAcentral describes it as "partial 16S ribosomal RNA". It matches the Rfam family "Bacterial small subunit ribosomal RNA", at positions 524 to 776 of the family's 1533-position model. The record is from RNAcentral.
UACAGAGGGUGCGAACGUUGUUCGGAAUCACUGGGCAUAAAGCGCACGUAGGCGGCACCGCAAGUGUGGGGUGAAAUCCCACGGCUUACCCGUGGAACUGCCUGGCAGACUGCGGUGCUAGAGGUUGGUAGGGGAGAGCGGAACUCUUGGUGGAGCGGUGAAAUGCGUAGAUAUCUGGAGGAAUACCGGUGGCGAAGGCGGCAUCCUGGACCGACAUUGACGCUGAACGGCGAAAGCUAGGGGAGCAAACGGG